This 253-nucleotide ribosomal RNA is filed under the name uncultured bacterium. RNAcentral describes it as "partial 16S ribosomal RNA". It matches the Rfam family "Bacterial small subunit ribosomal RNA", at positions 524 to 776 of the family's 1533-position model. The record is from RNAcentral.
GACGAAGGUGGCGAGCGUUGUUCGGAAUCACUGGGCAUAAAGCGCACGUAGGCGGUGUCGUAAGUCAGGUGUGAAAUCCCUCGGCCUAACCGAGGAACUGCGCCCGAUACUGCGAUGCUUGAGGACCAGAGGGGUGCAUGGAAUUUCCGGUGGAGCGGUGAAAUGCGUUGAUAUCGGAAGGAACUCCGGUGGCGAAAGCGAUGCACUGGCUGGUUUCUGACGCUGAGGUGCGAAAGCCAGGGGAGCAAACGGG